AUACGUAGGGCGCAAGCGUUGUCCGGAAUUAUUGGGCGUAAAGAGCUCGUAGGCGGUUUGUCACGCCUGCUGUGAAAACCCGAGGCUCAACCUCGGGCCUGCAGUGGGUACGGGCAGACUAGAGUGCGGUAGGGGAGACUGGAACUCCUGGUGUAGCGGUGGAAUGCGCAGAUAUCAGGAAGAACACCAAUGGCGAAGGCAGGUCUCUGGGCCGUAACUGACGCUGAGGAGCGAAAGCAUGGGGAGCGAACAGGAUUAGAUACCCUGGUAGUCCAUGCCGUAAACGUUGGACGCUAGAUGUGGGGGCCUUUCCACGGUUUCCGCGUCGUAGCUAACGCAUUAAGCGUCCCGCCUGGGGAGUACGGCCGCAAGGCUAAA
RNAcentral lists this ribosomal RNA (378 nucleotides) under uncultured bacterium. Its description in RNAcentral is "bacterial SSU rRNA". It matches the Rfam family "Bacterial small subunit ribosomal RNA", at positions 523 to 898 of the family's 1533-position model. The record is from RNAcentral.